RNAcentral lists this ribosomal RNA (301 nucleotides) under uncultured bacterium. RNAcentral describes it as "partial 16S ribosomal RNA". It matches the Rfam family "Bacterial small subunit ribosomal RNA", at positions 509 to 807 of the family's 1533-position model. The record is from RNAcentral.
CAGCAGCCGCGGUAAUACGUAGGUGGCAAGCGUUGUCCAGAAUUAUUGGGCGUAAAGGGCUCGCAGGCGGUUUCUUAAGUCUGAUGCGAAAGCCCCCGGCCCAACCGGGGAGGGUCAUUGGAAACUGGGAAACUUGAGUGCAGAAGAGGAGAGUGGAAUUCCACGUGUAGCGGUGAAAUGCGUAGAGAUGUGGAGGAACACCAGUGGCGAAGGCGACUCUCUGGUCUGUAACUGACGCUGAGGAGCGAAAGCGUGGGGAGCGAACAGGAUUAGAUACCCCCGUAGUCCCUGUCUCUUAUAC